CACGCUAUUUUUUGCAGAGUCAAAGGCAUCCUGGCACGCCGCCAGAGCAUUGUGACUGUCAGGUUGUGUCGAAAGUGAUCGCCUUUCAAAGUGACUCUCACUGCCCCGUGCCCUUCACCUCCUUCCCUUGUUGUAACCCUAGAGCACAGAGGAGUGCCAGGUAACCACGAAUCUCUCUCUCUUAGGCGCCGUGCUGUUUAGUGACCAUGUGAGACCCGUGAUUCAGUUUCCCCUAUGGGAGACUGUGCGCGCAUUUUCCGGUCCUCGGUCAAGCGAUAUUUGGAAUAAUCGGUGGUUUUUAAUUCGACCGCCAUUGCUUGCCACAAUGCAAAUUGAUAUGUAUGAACUUUGGCAAAAUGACGUUUAACGGGCAUGCCACGGUUUAAAAUGAGCUUUCUUACCUCAGUCUGUUAUUUGUUUUGAUCACGGAUUCGUAGGCAUCUCCUCUUUAGGGCUGGCUCCAUGUCACCAGAACUGGGUGUAUUAGCGGAGCCUCGCAAGCCACCCUUGUCCCUGAGUUUAGGCAAGAGCAGCGGAGUUGGACUCCCGCCUGUCUUUGGUGCGGUGGGUAGGGCGUAGGCAUGGUCCUCAUCUGGGAAAUGGGGGUCUUCUCCAGCAUUCGUAACUGAACAUUCUUCUAACUGACUGAUUGGACCCUCAACUCGUGCAGGGUUGACAACAGAGCACUUAUUUUCUUUUAUAGAUUCCUGCUCAGUCAGUGCAGGAUCUGUUGGGGGUGCUGGUACUCUUUGGGGUAAGAGUGUGUCUAAACUUGCGGUGGAUUGUACAGAGGACAUCCCAUUUGGACCUUGGCUCUGAGAUUUUAGGACAGAAGACAUGCCAUCAUAUGGGUGGAUGUUAACUGUAGGGCUUGGUGGAGGUGACACAUGAGAGUCCUUAUUUUGGAUUACGGUGUCAUGUGAAGGAGAUUGAGGGGGUCGAAUGAUGUCAUGGAACCCUGACUUGAUACUCUGAACAGUAUGUGACUCCUCUAACCCCGAGAAGUCCUGUAAUCCCCUGGAAUGAGGUUCCAGCUUCACUUGGGUUCUUUGUAGUACCCUUUGUAUAACUUGUCGUUCUGACUGUUGCUGUUGUUGUUUGUAGUCUAUCAGUCCUUCCGAGCUGCGCGUUGAGCAGGGGGAGGCGUUGUACUGCGCUCUGGGGGACGAUGUCCCACUGUGACAUGUGGAUGUUGGGGAUGGGAAUGGCCUUUCUGAUUUAACCCAACUCAGGUCCAUAAAAUUGGAGUCACCGUGUGACAAGUUUCCACCCACUUUGUGGUGUAACGAGUGGGCGUUCCCUUCGGAUACUCCAGGAGAUGGAACCCUGAAAGGUAUGGAUCGACACCUCUCUGUUCCAUCUGGGACAGGCUGUAUAACGCCGCUGUGAUUUGGGGUUUCAUGAUUAGUUUUGGGAGGCAUAGGAACAGGGAUUGGAAUGGGUAUUGGGAUCGGUAGAGGAACAAUAAUGGGGUAAGGAACCAGGACAGUGGGUUGUGGAAGGAGUGGACUAAAUGAGGGGAUGCCAAAGUUCAUAAAGGGAGGCAUUGGGACAGGGCCUCUGGGCAACAUGUUCACCGGAGGGGAGUGGAAGCCCGGGAAAUAGGGUCGAGGGAAGGGAUGCAUCAGUCCUGGUGGGUUCAUGGAGGUGGAGGUGGGAGGCUGAAGGUGAGGAGAAUGUGGAGGUCUGUGAAUUGGGCUUGAAGAGGGGCCUGGUUGUCUUGAAUGGUGGGCAAAGGGGCUUCUGAGACCCUGGGCAUGAAGAGGAGGUCUGAUAAAGGGCAUUGGCAUUUGAGGAAUCGGCUGAUGAUCCAAAGGGUGGUGUGGAUGUGGAGAUGGGAUGAAAGUAGGGUGAGGCGACACUGCUACAGCUUGAGGAAGUGGUUGGAUGGGCCUGUCCACAGUCCUUUGGCCAGAGACUGGAGGCUUAGAUGAAGACGAUAAUGACUCUGAUGGGGAGAUGGAGGAUGAUUCUGACUCCGGAGUUAGAAGCUUUUGUCCGGCAAUACUGGCGUCCGACCGCCCCUCCGAGCUAGCUCUAGCCGGGCUGGAACAGGUAAGAGCGGCGCGGGCUUCUCUGUAAAAAACAUCCAUCUUGUACUGAUUGAGACAUUUUGUGCUGCAGAACUGGAGUCGCUCUUCGCCGGAUCCGAAAUCCAGGUAUUCUUUGGUACACAGGCCGAGAGUGGAGUCGGCUGUCUUGGUUGCUUUGUUGGGUCUGCUCCUGUCUCUGGCCAUCCUCCCUCCACCCCAGCGGACGAUGGUGUGGAACACCGCAGAGGCCACCACAGUGGAUAUGUUUCUUUUACUUUUUAUUCAUAGCUGUAUGUAGAAGUGUCUGGUUGUAUCUGCUGCUUUAAUGUCUUUAAUGUCCUCUGUGUUCUUUGAUGUUUGAUGUUUCCCUCUUACAUGUGUACCAUGGCUAUGAGUUGUUGUUUUUUCCCCUUGGCCUCAGUCUGCACCCCCACUCCAGGGCCCAGGCUAAGACCGAUUUUUUUACAUUUUAUUUUAAUCUUCUAUUCUUUUCUUCCCCCCCCCCCCCCCCCCCCGUUUACCUGUAUGUCAUCUUUUUUGUAAGGGGCGCUGGAAGCCGGCAGACCAGUCAGCGAUCCUGUUCUGUCUCCCUGUAAUGUUUGUCUGAUCUUGAAUGGGAUUGUGCUGAAAAUUGUAAUUUUCCUGACGGAAUAAAUAAAGUACUAUCUAAUCUAAUCUAAUCUAAGGUCAGGGGUGUCAAACUCAAAUACAGAGUGGGCCAACAUUUAAAACUGAACAAAGCCGCGGGCCGAGGUUGAACAAAUUAACCUUUUAAUAGGGACCCAAACAAGUUUUGCAAUGAAUAUUGAACAAGCAAGGCUUAAAUAAGGCAGCACGGUGGCACAGGCGUGCUGCCCUACAGUGCAUCUGCCUCACAAUACGAAGGUCCUGAGUAAUCCUGGGUUCAACCCCGGGCUCGGGAUCUUUCUGUGUGGAGUUUGCAUGUUCUCCCCGUGACUGCGUGGGUUUCCUCCGGGUACUCCGGCUUCCUCCCAUGGAACAGGCAGAGCUUAUAUAACGUAAUCGUGCAAAAUCAACUUUAAAAAAACAGACAAAAAAACAUCAGUGGUAUAUUAAAUAGGAUUUAAUUAAAACAAUGAAUGUCUCUUUUCUAUUUCUAUUUCUAUUUACAGCCUUCCGAGGUAAAUAUCAACAUUAACUUUUUCCACAGGCUAACAAAUCCGAAAAUAAAAUAAAAAUGAGGUGGGCGGGGUUUGGUGGUACUGGGGGGUGUAUAUUAUAGCGUUCCGGUAGAGUUAGUGCUGCAAGGGGUUCUGGGUAUUUGUUCUGUUGUGUUACGGUGCGAGUGUUCUCCCGAAAUGUGUUUUGUCAUUGUUGUUUGGGCUGGGUUCACAGUGUGGCGCAUAUUUGUAACAAAGUUGUUUAUACGGCCACCCUCAGUGUGACCUGUAUGACUGUUGGCCAUGUAUGUGUGUGUGAAAGCCGCAUAUAUUAUGUGACUUGGCCAGCAUGCUUUUUAUAUGGAGGAAAAGAGGACGGGACGACAUGUUGUAGAGGACGCUAAAGGCAUUGCCUUUAAGGCACGCUCCCAAUAUUGUUGUACGGGUGGAAAUCGGGAGAAUGGUUGCCCAGGGAGAUUUUCGGGAAGGGGCCCUAAACUUCGGGAGUCUCCCGGGAAAAUCGGGAGGGUUGGCAAGUAUGAGUAUUAGCGGUGAACGUGGUGUUACCGGCGGGCCAGCUCUAAUGUUAAUUUGAUAUUGCCUCUAGGACCAAAUGAAAUUAAACGGCGGGCCAGAGUUUGACACCCAUGAUCUAGGUUUUGUCAUUAAAGACUUUUUGCAAAAAAAUAAAACAGUUUUAUCUUUUAACAACUUUAAUUGUGUGUUGUUCGGGUCUGUGGUACCCGUUUUCAUUUCAUUUCUUUCUUUGUUUUCUCCUAGCUUUUUGUUUUCUUGUUAGCCAUUAGCUGUUUCCAGUUUUUCUGUUUCCUGCUAGAUAUCUGGUAGCUUCCACGCUAGGCCUUUUGUUUGUUAUCCGCCCACGUGCGCGCUUUUAAUUUGAACCCUUUGUUUGGUUUUGUUCUAGUUUUUUAUAUUAAAACUGUGUUUUCUCACUCCAUACCUGCCUCCAUCUCUGCAUCUUGGGGUUCGUCAACAACAAACUUUGUCAAUAAAGACCUAUC
Nerophis ophidion (straightnose pipefish) is the source of this 4176-nucleotide long non-coding RNA. RefSeq lists it as uncharacterized. The transcript is spliced from 3 exons. The record is from RefSeq and is a predicted model, not a curated record. Lineage: Eukaryota; Metazoa; Chordata; Actinopteri; Syngnathiformes; Syngnathidae.